UCUAAACCACCGCCAUACAAAUCUCAAGUGGCUUCAACUUAGCCUAUUAAUGGUUGGUUCAAAUAAAACAAGAACAAUCAAAUCUAACCUGGUGAAACAUCUCCAUGUCAAUUUCAGCCUCUGUCUUCCAAGACGUUUCAUCUGAAAAAGAAGAUGAGACAUUCUCUUGAAAUAUGACUUUAGCGUCUUUGAGAAAAUUCUUGCCAAUGAUGAAGAGUUCCUCUCCUCCCCUCACUGAGCAGCUGUGCAGUGAUUUCUUCAGAAUCUCAGGCACCCCUGCCGGCUGGGCUGUUGACACAGCAGGACUGAAAACAAAGACCUUCACUUACUGCAAAGGAUGGAAGACGACAGCGUUUGGAGCGUGAGCACUGAACCGUCUGGACGUGGGAUGUUGACCCGAAACACGAGCCUCGCCCGCGUGCUCUUCUUUUUUGACCCCGCC
This is a long non-coding RNA of Phyllopteryx taeniolatus (common seadragon), 442 nucleotides long. RefSeq lists it as uncharacterized. Lineage: Eukaryota; Metazoa; Chordata; Actinopteri; Syngnathiformes; Syngnathidae. The transcript has 3 exons. The record is from RefSeq and is a predicted model, not a curated record.